UAAAUGUGAUUGAUUUAAAAGCAAAAGAAAACGGUUUCAAGUUUUGAUUUGUACUGUCAUUUGUUAGGUUCUAGAGAAAAUGCAGAAACCAAAUGAGAUUUCAAGUACUUUUUUUUUCUCUAGUUUUUUGUCUUCGGAACUUAAUUAUGCGUUCCAUUGAGUUUAAUUUAAACUUUUUAUAGCUGAAUUAUGUACUUUUAGGUGUUAAUCACCUCCUAGAAAGUAACAGCGAUCAUAAGCUAAUGAAGCUGUUCAUUUGACUAAGUCUGUGAAUCUGAAACCAAUUUAUCACUAAUUAAUACACGUAUAUUAUUUGUGGCUGGUGAAACUGAAUAUAUGGUUGGAGGCAGGGUCCCGCCGCUGGUAAAUUGCACGACGGUGGCCAAAGGAAUGCUAAAUUGUACAAAGAAAAAAAAAUACACGUAUAUUAUUUGCAGCUGUGUAUGUAUGUAUAAACAAAAUGCAUAUGGUUGGAGGCCCGUAUUUUAGCUGUCUGCGUGUGUGAAUGUACACACGCAUUCCCGACACCUAUGUUCACAUUAUACUGAAAGUUUAAUAUUUUUGAAGGGUAUCAUACUUGUUAUUCUGGUUUUACUCGUAGAUGCCAUAGCCAAGAGAAGAAGGUCAGAAUUCGUUUUAAGCUACAUGGAAUUCCAUGUUUGUUCACUGAAUAUUGAAUCAAUGAUAUUAGUCCUCACAAUUGCUCAAUUGAUUUUGGUGAUUACUGUCUUAGGUCCGGUUCGCCACACAGCUCUCCUUCACCUGUCAGAGGCCACCGGUCGAGAUCAUUGUCGAGGUCUAGGAGAAGUCGUUCUAGGUAUACUGGAAAUCUCAAAUUCCCUAUUUUUAACCUGUUUUGGUUUUAUGGUUUCUGUUUUAUUCAAACCUCAAUACUCUGGUCAAGCUUUGUUGAGUUGAAUUGAAGAAAACUCUGGUUUUUCUUUCUGCAGGAGCCAUGAACCUGUCGACGCAUUCUAACAUAACGUUUUUACCUAUCUUGUCCUUUCUUUAUUAGACUUCACAUAGAAUAGGUACUGGACUGCCAUCUGGUUACAGGCCCUCACACCAGAGAAUCUCGUGGAUUUGGCUUUGUCGCAAAGGAAACUGUUGAGGAUGCAGAACGCUGCAUCAAAUAUUUGGAUCGGUCUGUGCUUCAAGGUCGAUUAGUUACAGUUGAAAAGGUAUUAGUUUCUGUCAAAUGAUCAAGAAAGUUGCCGUGCAGUAUGCAGUUGAAUUGUUUAUACUUUUUCUUAUGAAGAUUUUACCUAUUAAAGAUGUUGCCUAACAAGUUUUGGCAGCAGGUCUGGUCACUGUAGCCUUCACUAUCUAAGCUCUACACAGUCGAAACUAUCCCCUUCACAACAUGAGUGUUUGCGUCGACAUUCAAAAAUCAUCAAUACAAACUCAACUAUUUUGCCGAGGGUUGAAUGCCCUUUAGUCCUCUUUUUCGUUUGCAACAGCGUCUUCCAUGGUUGUUAUUUACCUUACUAUUUAAUGCCCUAGAGGCAUGGUAAAUUCUUCUUGUCGCAUUGCUUUUUGGGCUUCUCCUACUUAAUCCAUCUGAACUAUAUGUUGUAUCUAAUUAAAAUAAAAGGUGGAAGUUGGACAGAAAAUCUCCUUGCAGCCAGUCUGGUUAGCAAGGCAUGCCGUUUGCUUGGUAUACAGUUAGGAGGGUGACUUUAAAAGUACGAUAAUGCACUGCUAUGGACCGUCUGUUGCGAUGAUUAUGAUCCACAUGGAAGCAGCCGCAAAUGGAAGGCACUGUUACUGUUUUAAGUAGAUUGUUGACUUGUUUACCUAUCUUCUAUUCACUUCGAGUCAUCUAUUCACGUAUUUAUCUUCCAUGACGCUAUUUUGUGUUUUGUGUAAAUGUGCAGGCAAAAAGGAAACGAGGGAGGAGUCCAACUCCAGGAAGGUAUCAAGGUUUGAGAGAUAAACGAGGUACAGACAUGGAUCAAUAUUCUAAUUUUCUAGCAAUUGUGCAUCGUUGCUGACCUUAACAUGGGUUAGUCACAAAACUGAACUCUUACUUGGAGCUUUUGUCACUCCUCUCCCUGUAACCUUUUACACACACUACCGCGGGAGGUCUACCUGUGUUAUUUUAUGCCUGGCCCUCUAGAUCUGAACAAUCUGCAUUUCGGGUGUACAAUCGAGUUCGCCAUAGCUAAUUUUUAGAUUAGAGCCUAUUUUAAUGCUUUGUUUGAGGUGUGGUGAUGGGGGAAUGUGGUACUCUUGAAAUUUCAUUCCUUCUUCAGCGCAACGCUGAAAAUGUUUCCUCUUUGACCUCACUUAGCUUUUAAGCCCCGAUAAUGUAGCCGAGUUCACCUUACCCUUUUCGUCGUGUCCCAUUUAUCAUAAGUCUACAGUGCCUACUUCCUUUGAAAUGGAAAGAUACUAAUUUUGAAGUAGGAUUGAGACACUGGAUUCACAUCUCAUGUGAACCAUGUUAGUGUAUAUGUGUUUUCUUUGUAUUUCAAUGGAGGUUUUCAGGCAACCUUCGAAAAUGGCAGAGAAUAUAGAAAGAAUUUCAAAGAGAAGAUGAUUAAAUAUA
Molecule: long non-coding RNA, 2551 nt
Organism: Pyrus x bretschneideri (Chinese white pear)
Lineage: Eukaryota; Viridiplantae; Streptophyta; Magnoliopsida; Rosales; Rosaceae
Exons: 2
Source: RefSeq, a predicted model, not a curated record